Bolinopsis microptera is the source of this 2183-nucleotide long non-coding RNA. RefSeq lists it as uncharacterized. The record is from RefSeq and is a predicted model, not a curated record. The transcript is spliced from 3 exons. NCBI's taxonomy places the organism in Eukaryota, Metazoa, Ctenophora, Tentaculata, Lobata, Bolinopsidae.
UUUCAGGAAAUAAUGUACACAAUAUGGAAGGUAUUCACAAAGCUAUUCAUCAGCUCAAUCACUCUAACGACAUCAGCAUCAAAGUUGAAGGACUCAGCGAAAUUAAUAAAUAUUGUGAUUCGCACACAGCCGGCACUCGCAAUGAGUUUAUCACGGUGCUGAACGGUGACCAAACAACGAUUGCCACACUUUGUAAACUACUGAAACAGUUACGUCUUACAGAGUCUGUUACAUCUGUGAUAUUGAACAAGCUGUUUUACAUUGGGUGGAAUGGAUACAUUGACGAUGUUAAGACUGACAAUGAUCCUAAUCCUAUGUUUACUGGUUGUAUGAUGGAAAAUGGUGCAAUCAAAACUAUCCUGCAACUCCUUCCUAUGAUUGUUGAUACAAGUGAUAUAUAUUGGGCAGUUACUUUAUUGACUCAAUUCAUAAAUACAGAUUUCAAGAAUACAAGGUUUUUCGAAUGGAGCACAAAAUGGAAAGGAGACAUUUUUGCUGAGCUUCCACUGCUUCUUAAAACCGCAGAGAACAUGGAUAGCGAUUACGAACGCCGGUUCUGUAAGAAAGUAUUUGACAUAUUCCAAUACUAGGGAAGGCAUUCGAUGUACUGUAUGCCCAUGGUGAGGUCCCAUAUAAAAGACGGAACAAUAAAUAAGUUAUUCAAGUUAUUCGGUGAGAUGAGUAAUGACAAUACUUUUGUGAAAGCAUACCUGAAUGACAUGAUACAGACUUUUCGUAUAAUACUUCAAUACACUGAGACCAAAGAACAGAUGCAUGGGCUUAACACUGAAUUCCGGAUUUUGACUGAAGUUGCAGUAAAAAAUCUCUCUCAAGUUUCAAAGGAUAACUGGGCAUUCGAAAAUGUAGUGAAAAAUAUUUCUAUUUAUCUGCAAGAUGGUGAUAGAGAAGAUCGCGAGUUCUAUAUGAAAGAAAAACUGUUUAAAAGACUGAUUUUGUACUUGGUUGUGGAAUUGAGCUAUACAGAAAUGCGUUAUGAAAGCUCGGAACAUCGUGUCACCCUAAGAAAUAUUGAUGAAAUGAUGCCUGGUAUACCAUUGUGCAUAAACUUGAUCUCACAAACGAAACUGUGCAUAGACUUGACUUCACAAACGGAAAUUAACACUGAUUUAACAAAGUUUGGCAUGAUAAUAGGAAUAUUGUCUGUUAUCGUGAAAAAGCUAGUAUUAGUCAAAAACGAUGACUUGGGUCAAAUAGACUCACAAUUGCAUGUGUUAGAAGAUUGCGAUUUUGUUUGUGGGAUUGGAAGAGCAUUAACUCUAAUUAAAGAACCAAUUUUCACAUCCCAGCUUUUGAGUAUACUAAUUGGUCUGAGCCAACUGAUGGAUAGAAGGGUACUUAUGGAAAAGUUGCUAGUCUUUUUACCAGACCUAGCUGAAAAGCAAAAGAAAUAUAUCGACCAUACUAUUACUAAUGUUGAAGGACGUCUUCUUAGGUCACAAAUCUCCCAUAUUAUGAGAAAAGCUGCUGCUUAUGCAUUGGACGACAUUGAUCCCGUCUUCUUCGUCAAAGAUGUGUCUCCUAACAUUGUGAUUGCCUGGAAAAGUUUCCGAAUUUUAGAUAGAAAGAUGUUAUUUUCAUCUCACUCAUUGGAAACUGAGGAAAAUGUUGAACUAUCUAAUACUGGCCAAUGCACAGACAUUGAUGUUCUUAGAGCAACGUGGAAAAUGACUGAAAAAUUCCCGGAACUCAUCUGCUUUCAUAUUGCCAAAUUGAACCCUUCCGUAUUUGGGGAAAACACACAACCUCAAAAAACACUUUCGGGAAUGCCAACUCUUAUAAUCAAAACUUUGAUCUCCUACCUCGACCAUUCUCAAGAUAACAGCUUGGACUUCUUAAGAGAACUGACCUCUUUCGUCAAAGACCUAUCUCAUGAAGCUGUCAGCUCUGAAAUGAGCAGAGUAAUGUUUAGUGGUUUACCUCAAGCAUGCGAAGAUUUCCUGAAAGUGAACAGCGAUAAAGUGACAAACCAUAAUUUAAAGUAUUUUAUUAAUGUAUAUAACUAUACUAGCCUAGACUAGAGUAACUAAAGUUUUAUACUUUAAAUAGUUUUGUGAGCACAUAUUAUUGUAAAGAGAAUUGAUUCCUCACCUCCUAAUUGAUCUAGCAUGAUUGAAUGUUUUGGUCCUUAGAAAAAAGAAAAAAAGGGAAAAAAAGUUGUGAUA